RNAcentral lists this small nuclear RNA (22 nucleotides) under Arabidopsis thaliana (thale cress). Its description in RNAcentral is "snRNA_15984". The record is from RNAcentral. Lineage: Eukaryota; Viridiplantae; Streptophyta; Magnoliopsida; Brassicales; Brassicaceae.
AAAGCCAGAGGAAACUCUGGUG